Molecule: ribosomal RNA, 1476 nt
Filed under: uncultured Bordetella sp.
Lineage: Bacteria; Pseudomonadati; Pseudomonadota; Betaproteobacteria; Burkholderiales; Alcaligenaceae
Description: partial 16S-23S ribosomal RNA intergenic spacer
Rfam family: Bacterial small subunit ribosomal RNA
Source: RNAcentral
AGUUUGAUUCUGGCUCAGAUUGAACGCUGGCGGGAUGCUUUUACACAUGCAAGUCGAACGGCAGCACGGACUUCGGUCUGGUGGCGAGGGCGAACGGUGAGUAAUGUAUCGGAACGUGCCUAGUAGUGGGGAUAACUACGGCGAAAGCAGUAGCUAAUACCGCAUACGUUCCUUCGGGAAAGUGGGGACUUUCGGGCCUCGCACUAUUAGGAGCGGCCGAUAUCGGAUUAGUUAAGUUGGUGUGGGGUAACGGCUCACCAAGGCGACGAUCCGUAGCUGGUUUGAGAGGACGACCAGCCACACUGGGACCGGAGACACGGCCCAGACCUCGCCGGAGGCAGCAGUGGGGAAUGGGACAAUGGGGAAACCCUGAUCCAGCCAUCCUGCGUGCGAUGAAGGCCUUCUGGUUGUAAAGCACUUUUGGCAGGGGAAAGAAACGGCACGGGAUAAUACCCCGUGCAACUGACGGUACCUGCAGAAUAAGCACCGGCUAACCACACGGGCCAGCAGCCGCGGUAACAUUGUGGGUGCAAGCGUUAAUCGGAAUUACUGGGCGUAAAGCGUGCGCAGGCGGUUCUGAAAGAAAGCAGGAAAUCCCAGAGCUUAACUUUGGAACUGCAUUUUUAACUACCGAGCUAGAGUGUGUCAGAGGAGGUGGAAUUCCGCGUGUAGCAGUGAAAUGCGUAGAUAUGCGGAGGAACACCGAUGGCGAAGGCGGCCUCCUGGGAUAAACACUGACGCUCAUGCACGAAAGCGUGGGGAGCAAACAGGAUUAGAUACCUCUGGUAGUCCACGCCCCAAACGAUGUCAACUAGCUGUUGAAUUUCCGCCUUCGGUAGCGCAGCUAACGUGCGUGAAGCUGACCGCCUGGGGGGAGUAAUGGUCGCAAGAUUAAAAACUCAAAGGAAUUGACGGGGACUCCGCACAAGCGGUGGAUGAUGUGGAUUAACGGAGGAAUCGCGAAAACCCUUACCUACCCUUGACAUGUCUGGAAUCCUGAAGAGAUUUGGGAGUGCUCGCAAGAGAACCGGAACACAGGUGCUGCAUGGCUGUCGUCAGCUCGUGUCGUGAGAUGUUGGGUUAAGUCCCGCAACGAGCGCAAACCUUGUCAUUAGUUGCUACGAAAGGCACUCUAAUGAGACUGCCGGUGACAAACCGAGGAAGGGGGAUGACGUCAAGUCCUCAUGGCCCUUAUGGUAGGGUCACACGUCACAAUGGUCGGGACAGAGGGUCGCCAACCCGCGAGGGAGCCAAUCCAGAAAACCCAGAUCGGCCCGGAUCGCAGUCUGCAACUCGACUGUGUGAAGUCGGAAUCAAGCAAUCGCGGAUCAGCAUGUCGCGGUGAAUACGUUCCCGGGUCUUGUACACACCGCCCGUCACACCAUGGGAGUGGCUUUACCAGAAGUAGUUAGCCUAACCGUAAGGAGGGCGAUUACCACGGGUAGAUUCAUGACUGGGGUGAAGUCAACAAGGUAG